GAUCCCUUAGCUCAGUGGUAGAGCGUGUGAUUCCAGUACGUGAGUUGAACCCCAAUUCCGGAUGUCCACAAGGCCAAGCAUUCAACUCGCUUAGGGGUCA
This 100-nucleotide transfer RNA is filed under the name Armillaria solidipes. It matches the Rfam family "tRNA". From Rfam's summary of the family: Transfer RNA (tRNA) molecules are approximately 80 nucleotides in length. Their secondary structure includes four short double-helical elements and three loops (D, anti-codon, and T loops). The record is from Rfam by way of RNAcentral. Lineage: Eukaryota; Fungi; Basidiomycota; Agaricomycetes; Agaricales; Physalacriaceae.